AAUUAACCCUACCCUGCCCUGACCAUGAAGGGAACUUUCAAAAAAUGGAUUGCGCCCUUGGGAAACGGAAAACCGGUUCUUCCAUGGUGGUGGUCGGUUGGGUUCUUGGGAUGUUGGGUUAAGUCCUGAAACAAGCCCAACCCUUUCCUUUAGUUACCACCAGGUUAGGUUGGGCACUUAAGGGGGACGCCCGGGGCAAACCGGGAGAAAGGUGGGAAGGAGGCCAGGUCUCCUUGGCCUUAAGGCCCAGGGCUCCCCACUUCUUCCAAUGGCCGGAACAAAGGGCUGCCAACCCGGGAGGGGAGCCAACCCCAAAAACCCGAUCGUAGUCCGGAUUGCAUUGCAACUCGAUGCAUGAAGUGGAAUCGCUAGUAAUCGCGAUCAGAAUGUCGCGGAUCCC
Molecule: ribosomal RNA, 400 nt
Filed under: uncultured Pseudomonas sp.
Lineage: Bacteria; Pseudomonadati; Pseudomonadota; Gammaproteobacteria; Pseudomonadales; Pseudomonadaceae
Description: bacterial SSU rRNA
Rfam family: Bacterial small subunit ribosomal RNA
Source: RNAcentral